This 3312-nucleotide long non-coding RNA is filed under the name Lynx pardinus (Iberian lynx). Lineage: Eukaryota; Metazoa; Chordata; Mammalia; Carnivora; Felidae. The record is from RNAcentral.
CCCCGAUGGGGUGUGGGAAGCCCAGGGAUGAAAGGUACCAGGUCCCUGGCUGCCUCCUAACCCGGUGGCUGAGAAGGCGUGCUUGCAAGCAACCAAUGGAGCGGCCGGGCCCAUCGGGGAGUCUCUUCUCAGCUAACACUGCCUCCUUUCAGGUAGGAGAGCUUGCUUACCUCGGGCAAGUGGCCUGCCUCUCUAAGCUUCCAUUUCUUUCUUUUGUGUAAUGUAUGUAAAUAUCUCUCGGGGCCCAAGGCCAUCAUCAGUGACAGCCCCAGGGGAAAACCUUGUUAUCCAUAAACCUUGUUCUACAGGCUUGGGGUGAUCAGGCCCCCCCCCCCCCCGUGGACCUCAGUUCCACCUUUUAACCCAGCUGGGGGCUCCACAGAAGCCCCCGCCCACUGCGGUCGUCGGGAGACUUGAGGAAGAGGGGAGGGUCUCCAGAGCAUAACUGACGGCAGCCAUGGGUGGUGCAGAGGCCCCUCAAGGGUCUUCCUGUGCUCCAGGCACUGUGGAUGUGAUCCAUGACAGGAUUUCACCUGAUUCGCCUCAGGACUGCUCUGUAAGGAAGGGUUGUCCACUGCAAUAAUGAUAGUAAUAAUGGUAACGCUCAGCUCAUCUAGUGCUUACCAUCUGCUGGGCUCUGUGCCCAUGUUGUCUCCAUUUUCUAGAUCUGGAAGGUGUGGUUCCAAGCAGUUAAGGACUUAGCCCGUUAAGGAUUUCUAACCUCUGUUCCCAUGUGGAGCACUUGCUCUGUGCUCCCGGCCCAGCACCCCCUCAUUGUCCCUUAUCCCAGCCCUCUGAGGUGUGACACCCAUUUUACAGAUGAGAAAAUGGGGUUCCGAGAAGGGAGGAGACUGGCCCAGGACAGCCCCCACCUUCCAGCCCUGCCCCGGAGAACCCUGGCUAGGGCUUCAGAAGUCCAAGGGAGAUCAAAUUUCAUGUCCUGACAGGCACUAGACAAGUUGCCUGGCCUCAUCAAGCCUCAGUUUCCUCUUCUGCUUAAUGGGCACACAACAAGUCAGGAUGUCCCUGCCUCUCAGGGUGGGAGUCUGAAUUCUAGGCCAGAACGGCCAGGGCUGCUAUCAGUCAGCAUCCCCUGGGGCUACACACCAGGCCAGGCCACUCUUACCCAGACCCUCCCGACCGAUGGAACCUUUUGCCCGGCAGCAGAGGAGGGGUAGCCCCAGAUGCCAGGGUUUGAGAGCAGUAGCUCCUGAGAGAUCAUCUAGGCCCCCUUCCCUUAGAGGCCAAGGACCCUAGGGAGGAGACAUGACUUGCCCAGGGUCACAUGGUGUGGGUGGGGAGAGAGAACUGAGGGCAGCUCCCCGGGGCUGUGGGGUAUUGACAUUUCACAUGGCAUCUCGAGGCAGUAGGGCCUCCUUCUAAAGUAAGAGUCAGCUCAAGGCUAGAGCCCCAUUAAUCAAAUGACCAGGUCACCUCACAGAACACAGGGCAGGUGGGGGGCAGGGUCCAAGGGUGGCCUAGCGCUGGAUCUGGGGCCUGGCAUUACAGACCCCUGUGAAUGACUAAGCUACUUUCCCUAUUAGCCCUUUGUUGCCUCCCCUGAGAAAUGGGUCCAUGCAUAAAGAUCUCUGCACAGUGCUGAUGUCUAGAAAGAAUUCAUGUUAACUAUUAUUUAAGGAAAUCAAGUCACAGGAGCUCCUGGCUGGCUCGGUCAGGAGAGCAUGCGACUCUUGAUCUCAGAGUCAUGAGUUUGAGCCCCAUGUAGAGUUUACUUAAAGUUAAAAAAAAAAAAAAAAAAAGCCAGGAUUCCCAAGCUUGAUCAGAGAGUCUAAGCAGUAGCCUCUGGGGGUGCCUGGUUGGCUCAGCGACUCUUGAUCUCGGGAUGGUGAGUUUGAGCCCCACGUGGGGUGUAGAGAUUACUUUAAAUUUCAAAAAUAAAUAAAAUUGAAAAAACAAAUCAGCAGCAGCUGGAAUCAAAUGGCGCUGGGACUGGGCUGAAUCCUUGUUUCGCUACUUGCAGCUGGUGAGCUUCGCAGGUGAUUCUGCACUUCCGGUCCUCAGUUCCUCACCUGUCAAAUGGGCUCGGCACAGCACCCGCCAAGGAGGAGAGUCUUAAAUCUCACACCCCAGGGAGCAGGUGCUGAAGACAAUCGCGGUUGCAGAGAUAACCAGUUGAAAAAAAAAAAAUUCCACACACUUUUUCCCACUCUGAAAAUCGCUAAAACAGCUGCCGUCAGGUCUGAGCAGGGAAGGCCUCAGCCAGCUCAAAGAGCACCCAGGCCCCUGGGGAGGAGGCCAGACUGAAACCAGUCUCUCUGUGGCCCGGCACACCGCAUGGCCUCGCAGCACACACCUGGUGCUCUCGGAAGGCCCCUCUUGGCCACGAGUGGGGACCCCAGGAAUAUCUCAAGAACAUCUGUAAAGCCAUGCCCGGUCCCAGGUCAGUUCUGGCCCCUUACUGGGCCUCAGUGUCCCCAGCUGCUGGACAAAAGGGCAGAUGGCGAGCAGAAUGCGGCAAGAAGGUGACAUUUGAGCAGAAACCUGGGAUGAUGGAGAGUGGGUUGUGGGAACUUUCGGAGGAAGAACGUUCUAGGCAGAGGGAACCACCAGUGCAAAGGCCCUGAGGCUUUGUCCUGCGUUUUCUGUGUGACCUUCGGCUGGCUGAGUAACCAGUCUGUGCCUCAGUUUCCCAUCUGUAUAAUGAGAAUCAUCACAGUGCUCGAAAAGCUGUUGUGAGGGUCACAGGAAUACCUUUAACGCUAAGGGCUCACUGGACAUGGACCUUUGCAGAGGUGGGUGUGAGCCUGGUGUAUCUGCGGACCACAGAGAAGGCCAGCAGGGCUGGGGGCUGCAGGUGAUGGUAAGAGAUGGGUAGUUCAAAAGCUUGGAUUUCAUCCUAAAUGCAAUGGGAAGCCACUGGAUGGGUUUAAGCAGAAGAGAGACGAGAUCUGAUUUUCUUUCUUCUUCGUUUUUUUUGAUGUUUAUUUUUGACAGAGAGAGAGAGAGACAGAGCAUGAGCGGGGGGAGGGGCAAAGAGAGAGGGAGACACAGAAUCGGAAGCAGGGCUCCAGGUUCCGAGGUGUCAGCACAGAGCCCGAUGCGGGGCUCGAACUCACAGACCGCGAGAUCAUGACCUGAGCCGAAGUCGGAUGCUCAACCGACUGAGCCACCCAGGCGCCCUUGAUUUUCUUUAAAAAUGACAGGAUGCAGGGCUCCUGGGUGGCUUAGUCGGUGAAGCAUCCGACUCGAUUUCAGCUCAGGUCGUGAUCUCAUGGUUUGUGAAUUCGAGCCCUGUGUCAGGCUCCGUGCCGACAGUGCAGAGCCUGCUUGGGGCACCCCCCCACCUCUCUC